RNAcentral lists this ribosomal RNA (451 nucleotides) under uncultured bacterium. RNAcentral's name for it is "bacterial SSU rRNA". It matches the Rfam family "Bacterial small subunit ribosomal RNA", at positions 335 to 799 of the family's 1533-position model. The record is from RNAcentral.
ACUCCUACGGGAGGCAGCAGUGGGGAAUCUUGCGCAAUGGGCGAAAGCCUGACGCAGCCAUGCCGCGUGAAUGAUGAAGGUCUUAGGAUUGUAAAAUUCUUUCACCGGGGACGAUAAUGACGGUACCCGGAGAAGAAGCCCCGGCUAACUUCGUGCCAGCAGCCGCGGUAAUACGAAGGGGGCUAGCGUUGCUCGGAAUUACUGGGGCGUAAAGGGAGCGUAGGCGGACAUUUAAGUCAGGGGUGAAAUCCCGGGGGCUCAACCUCGGAAUUGCCUUUGAUACUGGGGUGUCUUGAGUAUGAGAGAGGUGUGUGGAACUCCGAGUGUAGAGGUGAAAUUCGUAGAUAUUCGGAAGAACACCAGUGGCGAAGGCGACACACUGGCUCAUUACUGACGCUGAGGCUCGAAAGCGUGGGGAGCAAACAGGAUUAGAUACCCUGGUAGCACAGAG